CCCUAACCCUCUUUCCUUCGUCCUCCGACGCCGAUACUCUCUUCUUCCCCAAAAGUCACCGACGACCGGCGAUUCUCCUCUCUUCCCCUCUCGGCGUCGCCGGCGCAGGGCAUUCACCAGAGCAGCUGCCUGAGGAGGGAAGCUACAACCCCUUUUCCUCUCUCUCUCGGCUUCUCUCAUGCAAGCGACCCGACGCCGACGGAGGCGAUUCUGCUCCGAUUAACUCGGUCUCAUCGCAUCACUCGAGCGUCGUCGGACCGUCGUCGGAUUCUUGAAGGUGUUGAUGCUAUCCAAGCCUUUUCCAGUGGAGAGAUCUCUUGAUUGGCCGAUUCUUGCGUGCGUCCAAGGAGAUCCGAACUAGGGCAUGUGGAGAUGCUAUCCAAGCCUUUUCCAGUGGUGAGAUCUCUUGAUUUGCCGAUUCUUGCAUGCGUCCAAGGAGAUCCGAACUAGGGCAUGGUGAGAAGCUUGAUUCGCGACCCCAGCUCCUCAAUUUGUUCCUCCUCAUCAACUUGUUAUCCGGAGGGUGGUCUGUUGCUUCACAAUUGGUGAACUGGAACAUGCGACAUCGUUUGGAGGUGAAUGAUUCGAGGCUAGGGGAAGUUUCGGAUCAACCUAGUGAUGGACCUCCCCUGAGCAAAGCUUCAUCUUCUUCAAUUCUUGCAACUAUUAAGGUUCCGGUGUAGAGGUGGAGGCCAAUUUGAGGUAAGUAAGACUCUGUAUUUUGGGGUUUAGCAGACUAAUUGCUCUACAGCUAGGUUGUGGAUUGAUUUUGGGAGGAAUUAGUGUGGGGGCUUCUUGGGUAGCUGCUGGCAGAGGUCUUGUUGGGCUGUGAGAUUGGAUGCUGCUACAUCUUAAGGACCUUGAUAUGGGACGGUUAUCACGACGUGAGAUUUAUAUUGGACACGAUCUACAGAUAAAGGCGGGUA
Molecule: long non-coding RNA, 926 nt
Organism: Zingiber officinale
Lineage: Eukaryota; Viridiplantae; Streptophyta; Magnoliopsida; Zingiberales; Zingiberaceae
Exons: 4
Source: RefSeq, a predicted model, not a curated record